RNAcentral lists this ribosomal RNA (460 nucleotides) under uncultured bacterium. Its description in RNAcentral is "partial 16S ribosomal RNA". It matches the Rfam family "Bacterial small subunit ribosomal RNA", at positions 338 to 795 of the family's 1533-position model. The record is from RNAcentral.
CCUACGGGUGGCAGCAGUGAGGAAUAUUGGUCAAUGGACGAGAGUCUGAACCAGCCAAGUAGCGUGAAGGAUGACUGCCCUAUGGGUUGUAAACUUCUUUUAUAUGGGAAUAAAACGUUCCACGUGUGGGAUUUUGUAUGUACCAUAUGAAUAAGGAUCGGCUAACUCCGUGCCAGCAGCCGCGGUAAUACGGAGGAUCCGAGCGUUAUCUGGAUUUAUUGGGUUUAAAGGGAGCGUAGGUGGAUUGUUAAGUCAGUUGUGAAAGUUUGCGGCUCAACCGUAAAAUUGCAGUUGAAACUGGCAGUCUUGAGUACAGUAGAGGUGGGCGGAAUUCGUGGUGUAGCGGUGAAAUGCUUAGAUAUCACGAAGAACUCCGAUUGCGAAGGCAGUUCACUGGACUGCAACUGACACUGAGGCUCGAAAGUGUGGGUAUCAAACAGGAUUAGAUACCCUUGUAGUC